This 483-nucleotide ribosomal RNA is filed under the name uncultured bacterium. Its description in RNAcentral is "partial 16S ribosomal RNA". It matches the Rfam family "Bacterial small subunit ribosomal RNA", at positions 30 to 507 of the family's 1533-position model. The record is from RNAcentral.
AUUGAACGCUGGCGGCAUGCCUUACACAUGCCAGUCGAACGGCAGCACGGGAGCAAUCCUGGUGGCGAGUGGCGAACGGGUGAGUAAUACAUCGGAACGUGCCCAAUCGUGGGGGAUAACGCAGCGAAAGCUGUGCUAAUACCGCAUACGAUCUACGGAUGAAAGCAGGGGACCGCAAGGCCUUGCGCGAAUGGAGCGGCCGAUGGCAGAUUAGGUAGUUGGUGGGGUAAAGGCUCACCAAGCCAACGAUCUGUAGCUGGUCUGAGAGGACGACCAGCCACACUGGGACUGAGACACGGCCAGACUCCUACGGGAGGCAGCAGUGGGGAAUUUUGGACAAUGGGCGCAAGCCUGAUCCAGCCAUGCCGCGUGCAGGAUGAAGGCCUUCGGGUUGUAAACUGCUUUUGUACGGAACGAAACGGCCUUUUCUAAUAAAGAGGGCUAAUGACGGUACCGUAAGAAUAAGCACCGGCUAACUACGUG